CCCGGAGACCCUUAGGAAACUAGGGGUGCUUCCAUCUGGAAGAAUCUGGAGACAGGUGGCUGCAUGGCUGUCGUCAGCUCGUGUCGUGAGAUGUUGGGUUAAGUCCCGCAACGAGCGCAACCCUUGCCUUUAGUUGCCAGCAGUUCGGCUGGGCACUCUAAAGGGGACUGCCGGUGUUAAACCGGAGGAAGGUGGGGGAUGACGUCAAGUCCUCAUGGCCUUUAUGACCAGGGCUACACACGUACUACAAUGGCCGAUACAAAGGGCAGCGACACUGCGAGGUGAAGCCAAUCCCGUAAAAUCGGUCUCAGUCCGGAUUGGAGUCUGCAACUCGACUCCAUGAAGUUGGAAUCGCUAGUAAUCGUGGAUCAGCAUGCCACGGUGAAUACGUUCCCGGGCCUU
This 402-nucleotide ribosomal RNA is filed under the name uncultured Desulfobulbus sp. RNAcentral describes it as "bacterial SSU rRNA". It matches the Rfam family "Bacterial small subunit ribosomal RNA", at positions 988 to 1382 of the family's 1533-position model. Lineage: Bacteria; Pseudomonadati; Thermodesulfobacteriota; Desulfobulbia; Desulfobulbales; Desulfobulbaceae. The record is from RNAcentral.